Molecule: microRNA, 22 nt
Filed under: Mus musculus (house mouse)
Lineage: Eukaryota; Metazoa; Chordata; Mammalia; Rodentia; Muridae
Description: mmu-miR-12194-3p
Source: miRBase by way of RNAcentral
UCUGUGGGUCUGUUUGUCCGUC